This 439-nucleotide ribosomal RNA is filed under the name uncultured bacterium. Its description in RNAcentral is "partial 16S ribosomal RNA". It matches the Rfam family "Bacterial small subunit ribosomal RNA", at positions 339 to 795 of the family's 1533-position model. The record is from RNAcentral.
CUACGGGAUGCUGCAGUGAGGAAUAUUGCACAAUGGGGGGAACCCUGAUGCAGCAACGCCGCGUGGAGGAUGACGCAUUUCGGUGUGUAAACUCCUUUUAUAUGUCAAGAAAAUGACGGUAGCAUAUGAAUAAGCACCGGCUAACUCCGUGCCAGCAGCCGCGGUAAUACGGAGGGUGCAAGCGUUACUCGGAAUCACUGGGCGUAAAGGACGCGUAGGCGGGUUGGAAAGUCAGGUGUGAAAUCCUACAGCUUAACUGUAGAACUGCACUUGAAACUGGUAACCUAGAGUAUGGGAGGGGGAGAUGGAAUUAGUGGUGUAGGGGUAAAAUCCGUAGAUAUCACUAGGAAUACCUAAAGCGAAGGCGAUCUCCUGGAACAUAACUGACGCUAAGGCGUGAAAGCGUGGGGAGCAAACAGGAUUAGAUACCCUAGUAGUC